UUCAAUGGGCUAUGGUGUUGUGCGACCUACUCUUGGUGGUGUAACCUCAAAAGUGUUUCUGUUAGCCCUUAUGUAUUUUAUUGCUACGGAGGCACUUGAACUUGUGGAGCAUUUGGGAAGCAUCAAUGACUUCUCAAGGAAAACCAAGAUAUAUUUGGUGCUGCCUGUUGUUUUCUUGGAUGCAUCAUUUAUUUUGUGGAUAUUCUCAUCAUUAUCCAAGACAUUGGAAAAAUUACAGAUGCGGAAAAGCAUGGCAAAACUUGAUCUUUAUAGAAAGUUUACCAAUUCCCUUGCAAUUUUUGUGCUGAUUUCCAUUGCUUGGGUUGGCUAUGAGCUGUACUUCAAUGCAAGUGACCCAUUAAGUGAGCUAUGGCGAAUUUCCUGGAUUAUUCCAGCUUUCUGGAGUUUGCUUGCCUUUUCGUUGUUGGUAGUAGUAUGUAUUCUCUGGGCUCCUUCAAGUAACCCAACCAGGUACAUGUUGUAAACUGAGCUUUCUAUUUUAUUAGCCUUUCUAUGAAAUGGUUUGACAAAAUCGUUUGUAGUUGGUGUUUACACUAUUCAACCUAGUUUUUGUCAUUAUUAUUGGUAACACUUCUCAAGAUUCUUAAUGGGUAUUGUACUAAACAGUAUUUUCUAACUGUCAGUGUGUGAAUGAUUUUUUGUGGCAUAGAAUUGUUCCAAGGGAUGACAGGUAAUAAAAAGAACAUACCACGGAUGAUAAAAUGAGCAAUAGAAAGAUGAAGGCAAUUUAAAAUGUCAUUGUGCUUACUCUUCUAGAAAGCGCAAUCUAUGAAUGAAAAAAGC
This 804-nucleotide unclassified non-coding RNA is filed under the name Hevea brasiliensis (rubber tree). Lineage: Eukaryota; Viridiplantae; Streptophyta; Magnoliopsida; Malpighiales; Euphorbiaceae. The record is from RNAcentral.